Molecule: long non-coding RNA, 1240 nt
Organism: Cynoglossus semilaevis (tongue sole)
Lineage: Eukaryota; Metazoa; Chordata; Actinopteri; Pleuronectiformes; Cynoglossidae
Exons: 2
Source: RefSeq, a predicted model, not a curated record
UUUUCUCUCUCUGUCCCACACACAGACACAGGAGCUGCUGGUCCACCGCUGCCUCCUGUGUGACGUUGUAAAAUACCACAUUUGAGUUCAGUGAUGGAGGCAGCCGUGGAGCAGGUGUCUCAGCCAGUCAGAAUCACCGAUUCCCUCUGUGAGGGUCGGUGCGGCACAAAACGGUCUGACGGAGGCGGUUCUCCAAGAUUCCUGGAGUUCGUCUGAGACGAUCACUGUGUGAGGAACGGACGCGGAGGCCGACCAGCGAGGCAGCCGGGGGUUAGCAGGUCACAUUCACGUCAGUCACAUGACUCCAGGACGGCCUCGGGCACGGCGUCAGGAGGUGGACGUACCUGGGAAACUCACCUACACCCUGGGAGGACGGCUCCUGGAUCAUCAGGUGGCGAUCUCGGGCCUUCUUCAGUUUUCUUGGUGCUGCGAGGGUUCUUCUGCGCUCUGCUGACAUCAAACAUCUGCCAUGUCUGAAGACGACCUCCAACCGCCUCUGAGCACCAUCAGCCACAGACUUCAGCUCCUCCCCUUUCCUCCUUCUCUUCCUGUAUGACUGUAGCCAAUCAGCUCUCGAGUCUUUGGCCGACACGCUCGUCGGCUUCCCGCCAACGCCCCCGCUCUUCCAUCUUGACGUCCUCAAACCUGGGAAGACAACGCAGACGACCCCGCCGACCUCAGAAAAGAUCUCUGAAGAUCUCAGAGUCUGAAAAGUGGCCCAAGGUCAAACACGAGGUGAUGGAGUCGAGUCCAUGCUGCUGCUGCUGCUGCUGCUGCUGCUGCUGCUGCUGCAACAGUUCAACACCCUCACAUCUACAAACAGGAAACCACAGCAGCAGCAGCAGCACCUGCUGAGGCACCGACACCUCUGCCUGCUCUCGCUGCUCAGAGAGAAAAGUCAACGUUCAGCCACCUGACAUUCAUAUCAACAUAUCAGCUCUGCAUCACUCCUCACAGACAGGAAGUCGGCCGACAGAGUCAGUCUGUUUCACAGUGUGAAGUAGUGAUACGUUCAAUUCAGUUCAAUCGGUUCCAUUUUGUUACUGAAUUUUAGUUGUUCCAAAAAAUCUGAUCUGAACGUCUCAGCUAACAGAAAGAUGUGGCUCUGGCUAACCUUUAGCUAUUUAUUGGCUAAAUAUUCCAGGCUAAAGUUUCCUUCCAUCUCUAUUUGUGGUUGUAUUUAAAAAGUUGAUCUUCUGAUCUUCGGCUUCACAUUUAUCAUAAACAUGUGACUCCAGUA